UACGGAGGGUGCAAGCGUUAUCCGGAAUCAUUGGGUUUAAAGGGUCCGCAGGCGGUUCUAUAAGUCAGUGGUGAAAUCUCUCGGCUCAACCGAGAAACUGCCAUUGAUACUGUAGGACUUGAAUUCGGUCGAAGUGGGCGGAAUAUGACAUGUAGCGGUGAAAUGCUUAGAUAUGUCAUAGAACACCGAUAGCGAAGGCAGCUCACUAGGCCUGGAUUGACGCUCAGGGACGAAAGCGUGGGGAGCAAACAGGG
RNAcentral lists this ribosomal RNA (254 nucleotides) under uncultured bacterium. Its description in RNAcentral is "partial 16S ribosomal RNA". It matches the Rfam family "Bacterial small subunit ribosomal RNA", at positions 524 to 777 of the family's 1533-position model. The record is from RNAcentral.